GACGAACGCUGACGGCGUGCUUAACACAUGCAAGUCGAACGGAAAGGCCCUGCUUUUGUGGGGUGCUCGAGUGGCGAACGGGUGAGUAACACGUGAGUAACCUGCCCUUGACUUUGGGAUAACUUCAGGAAACUGGGGCUAAUACCGGAUAGGAGCUCCUGCUGCAUGGUGGGGGUUGGAAAGUUUCGGCGGUUGGGGAUGGACUCGCGGCUUAUCAGCUUGUUGGUGGGGUAGUGGCUUACCAAGGCUUUGACGGGUAGCCGGCCUGAGAGGGUGACCGGCCACAUUGGGACGGAGAUACGGCCCAGACUCCUACGGGAGGCAGCAGUGGGGAAUAUUGCACAAUGGGCGGAAGCCUGAUGCAGCAACGCCGCGUGCGGGAGGACGGCCUUCGGGUUGUAAACCGCUUUCGCCUGUGACGAAGCGUGAGUGACGGUAAUGGGUAAAGAAGCACCGGCUAACUACGU
Molecule: ribosomal RNA, 467 nt
Filed under: uncultured bacterium
Lineage: Bacteria
Description: partial 16S ribosomal RNA
Rfam family: Bacterial small subunit ribosomal RNA
Source: RNAcentral